UACGUAGGGUGCGAGCGUUAAUCGGAAUUACUGGGCGUAAAGCGUGCGCAGGCGGUUGUGCAAGACAGAUGUGAAAUCCCCGGGCUUAACCUGGGAACUGCAUUUGUGACUGCAUGACUGGAGUGUGGCAGAGGGGGAUGGAAUUCCGCGUGUAGCAGUGAAAUGCGUAGAUAUGCGGAGGAACACCGAUGGCGAAGGCAAUCCCCUGGGCCUGCACUGACGCUCAUGCACGAAAGCGUGGGGAGCAAACAGG
RNAcentral lists this ribosomal RNA (253 nucleotides) under uncultured bacterium. RNAcentral describes it as "partial 16S ribosomal RNA". It matches the Rfam family "Bacterial small subunit ribosomal RNA", at positions 524 to 776 of the family's 1533-position model. The record is from RNAcentral.